RNAcentral lists this ribosomal RNA (380 nucleotides) under Betta pulchra. Its description in RNAcentral is "partial 12S ribosomal RNA". It matches the Rfam family "Bacterial small subunit ribosomal RNA", at positions 803 to 1384 of the family's 1533-position model. The record is from RNAcentral. Lineage: Eukaryota; Metazoa; Chordata; Actinopteri; Anabantiformes; Osphronemidae.
UAAACAUUGGUACAUCAUUACAUUUUUCAAUCCGCCCGGGUACUACAAGCGCUAGCUUAAAACCCAAAGGACUUGGCGGUGCUUAAGAUCCCCCUAGAGGAGCCUGUUCUAGAACCGAUAAUCCACGUUUAACCUCACCCUCCCUUGUUUCUCCCGCCUAUAUACCGCCGUCGUCAGCUUACCCUGUGAAGGUCUAACAGUGAGCAAAAAUGGCACAGCCCAAAACGUCAGGUCGAGGUGUAGCGCAUGAGAGGGGAAGAAAUGGGCUACAUUCUCUAAAAUAGAAGCAUACGGAUAAUAUAUUGAAAUAUAUAUUUUAAGGAGGAUUUAGCAGUAAGUAGAAAUUAGAAUAUUCCACUGAAUCCGGCCCUAAAGCGCGC